AUAAAAGGACCACCAGCCGUCCUACCGAAGUUGGUUCCUCCAUGGUACUGCAGUUGACGUAAACAUGCAAAUUCGUUUACUUCAACAUGAUGGACAGCAAUCAGUAAUUACUGAAACAACUGAGGUAGAACAUACAAUUUCUUACCAUAUAGUAGUUAACGAAGGAACCACCUUUCGCUAUAAACCUUGCGACAGCAAAAGCCAUGUCCUGAACAGGCCGGUGAGGAACUGGACCCCCGAAACCAGUGAACCUAUUAACAUAGAAUACAUAGAAUAAAUUCACUGGAUAGAUUAAUUUCUUGUGAAAAUUUAUAUGAAUUCAAAUGUGAAGAAGUAGCGGUUACCAGCCAGUCCAAGCUUCAGUCCACAUGGUCGGUUUAUAAGGCUUGUUUGGUGAGAAGUAAUCGCAGUAGAACCCAUUGCAGGCAUUGAUCUUUAAAGACAAAAGCCCAAAAAAAGAGAUCACAAUAAGUCACCCAAGCUGGUCUAACAUGCAACUACAAACCCUCUAAUUAGGGCAGCUGGAAUUUAAGUAGAUAAAAGUCAUGUUGGACUUGACAAGGUAGAGAAGGAACAUGAACUUGGGGUUCUUCCUGAUGUGGUAGAACAAGAAAACCGAAAGCUUGGACUUACCACUGGAUCAGGUGCAUCAUCUUGCUUGCACAUGACCCACGGCACACCGGUGUUGAGACCCACUGCCAUUUGAGCAGCCCAGCUUAGGUAGUUCUUGGCUGCAGCGCCGUCAUAGUACUCCUGUAUACUAUAUUCGUUUUCAAUCUGCUCAAGUUAGACAAAGAGCAUGGAAGAACAGAAAGCGAAUUAGAUGAGAUCUUUGGGAGCUGAUCAACUCGAUGACACAUAAAAGCUAACGAAUUGAUGAAAGCAAAGAAGGAAUGGAUUCGAUGAUACCUGAGAGAGGAUAAUGGGACCACCCUGUGAUUCAAAUAAUCCUUCAGACUUCAUCAUGGCGACAAUCUUCUCUGUGAACUUCGCCAUGGCCGCCUUUUACAUGAAUAGACCAAUUAGCAAUUGCUCGGUUAGAGGAGAUCGAGUAUAAACAUGUAAAGAGAAGUUCCUGUGGAUUCUUACCUUGAAAGGUCCAUUGUCGCUCCUGAAAGUGAUGCCAGGAACAUAUUUUAACCAGACAGGAAAUCCCCUGUUUUACAAAGACAAGAUGAACAACAGAACAGCAUCAUCAGAUUGCAUGAUUAGGCUUUUGAUUCCACAUAGAAGAAUUAAUUGAAGACCUCGACCUCGUACCCAAAGUUCCAUUCGGCACAAACAUAAGGACCAAUCCGGAGAUGAACAUAGAGGCCGGCCUGCUUCACCAGCUUGAUGAAGCGAACCAGGUCGUAAUUACCACCAAAAUAAUACUGCCAAAGAUCAAGAAAAGCAACAAAUUGAGGCACACUAUGGGAAGGAGCAGUAGCCUUAGACGAGAGGGCUGGGAAAGGUUGGGUGAUCUCCGAACCUGGCCAGGGGACGGCUCGUGGCCGUUCCAGAACACAUAGGUCUGGAUAACAUCCAAGCCGCCAUCUUUAGCCUUCUGGAUGAGAUCCGGCCACAUCUGGAGACGAUCCAAUCGACAAAGUUCAGGUUUUGACGCGGUAGAAUAACAGUGCACGAACAGCUCACCAAAAAGGCCACAUUUCCCACAGAAUUGGAGACCUUACCUCCGGGGUGCUCCUGGGAUAGUGAAUGGAACCGGAGAUUAGAAUCCUCCUCUGCCCAUUGACGAUGAUAGCCUUGUGGUCGUAGGAAACGGAGGCAUCGACCGGAGAGGAAUGCCACGGAGACGACACCACCACCAACGCCACCGCCAGUAGCAGCAGCGUCGACAGUCCGCGGCCGCACCCAAGCGUUAUAAGCUCGAGGCUCAUGGUGGCCGGUCGGUCUUACCUUCAGAGGAGUCUCCUUUAGUGUUCUGGAUGUAUAAUAUGUGAAUGAUGGAGAUUCGUGCGCGCUGUUCUUCCGUCUUCUCCUCCGCUAGAGAAGUUCCGACGGAACUAUUGAGCAGUAGCGUUACUGCAACAAGCACACACCGAGGAAGAGAGAGGGAGAUCAAAGAGGAGGGAGGGAAGAGGGCGGACGUGGAGUGGGAGCGCGGGGGCGGGGAGGACGGGGGAGGGCGAUGUGCCUCUUGCGGUAUAAAUACCCGACGGGCGCAAGCGAGCACAGGAUUGGCGCUGGAAUACGCGGGUCCCAAAGCGCCAGCCACGUCAACGUUUUCUUCCAUUCCCCCUGAACAGGAAAAAAUCAAAUGGACCGAAGCGUGGGGCCAUCUGCUUGUAAGAAAGUGGACCAAUUAAGAUAAAGCUUUGAUAGUUGGCAAGGAUCGACAGAGUCAAAAUAUUUUGUUAAAAUUAUUAUUUGAGAAAAUUAGGACAGAUAGGUUAUGUGGAAUAAUAUUAGAAACUAAUAAUAUUAGUUUAGUUUUGUAAGAAAAUUUUAUGUUGAUGAUAUUUUUUAGUUGUCUAAUAUAUCGAUAUACAUUAUGAUAGUAAGCGAGUUAGAUAACAUAUCCAUAACCAUGAUAUAAAUAUUUUUUUAUAAAAUUACAUAUACAUGAUAUACCUAAAGGGUUUGAUGAGAUAUAUCAUAUUAUUAUUUUAUUAUGUGAAUAACAAUUUUUUUAUAUGUUAAUUUAGUUUCACAUAAGAAAUGUAUAAAGAUUUAGAUAAGAGUAUGAUAAUUGUACCAUUCUUAUCGUGAGUUUAGAGGGAUUUAACUCAAAGUAUCUCUCUCAGACGAAGAUUAUAUAUGUGGCAGAUAAGGCUAAGCCAGAUAGGAGAGAAAGGUAUGUUUUUAAAUAAAUAAAGCUUUUUAAGCAAUGGAAUAUUGUCAAAAUUAAAAUAAUAUGAAUACUAUAUUUUUGAAAAGCAAAUAAAGUUUCUUGAGUUGUAAUGAUAUCCAUUUUAAGCAAAUAUAAUUGCUGCAUUAUAUUUUUAAUGUCGAUGCCAAUAUUUAUAGUCACUGAUUAAAACAUGCCACAUAUAAUAUUUUCUUUCAAUACCAGAAAGAUAUUUAUAGUAUGAAUGAAAGGAUAAAUUUAGCUGAAUAUGGAACAUGAUGAACCAUAUCAUAACCAAUCCUCAAUUGAACUAAAACUUAAUCCUUACAGAAAUAGUUUGUAAUCAUCCUAAACUGGUCUAAAUAGAUUUCUAUUUUAGAUUAAACUGGCCUAGACAGUGCCUGACCCAGUCUGAUCCUUGAUAAGUGGUCAAGCCAAGCUACUGAAAUGUUGACCUCUGUGUUUGUAACUCAUGAUGAAAUUCUAAGUGACAUUAACAGUUUCUUCUUUAUAGUUGAUAAAUCAUUGUCAUCUCUUUCUAAAAAUAAAAAUAAAAAAAGCUGGGAAUAAAAAUAUCUAUAACAAUGCCUUUUUCCUGGCACCAGAUUGUAUCUUUACCACUAAUUUCUUGUUUCUUGCACUGUUGCACAUGAUCAUCAUGCAUCUUGUUAGACAUCUCAAGUGGUUGCCACAUAGUUCAGAGCUCAGAAGCACAGCCACACAAUUGCAUCAGGAAUCAAAAUGCUUAUAAGCUUUGCAGAAGCAAUGGAAAAGGCAAAGGAUGAUAACUUAAUAUGGAUCAAAAUGCUUAUAAGCUUAAGUAGUACAGAAGCAAAAGCUUAGCUCUUGCAAUUACAAGACCGACCAACCAUUUUGUGUAAACAUGCUAUCCCAAUUGCUAAUAUUAUGUCCACACAUGGACUCAAUAUAUGCAGAAUCCCACGUGCAGUAAGUAAUAUGUUGAGUGCAUCCAAUAUUUUCUAUGCACAUUUACUCACGUAACCAGGCAAUACCUUAAAGUGGGUGUGCAGUUCCUGCAUCUCCACCAAUCACUACUCCACGACUUUGGUUUGUAUAAAUUGACUUUAGUUCAUUUUCUUUACUUGGUCUACCAUCUGUGGUUAUCAUCUGCAGAUGGUUUUGACAGCAAGCUUCUUCAUAGUGCUACUCUUUUCACCAUUGAAAUCCCAGUUGGAUCACCACCCCACUCUUCAAACACAACCAACAAGUUUCCAGUUGGGUUCAGCCAAGCGCGAGGAACAUGAUACCUGAGAUUUGAGGUCAGUAAUCAGUCAUUUAUUCGAUUUUUUCGCAAGCUUAAUGGGGUGGAAAAAAAGGCAGGUGUUUCAUUACCAUUUUUGAGAAGGCUCCCCACAAUUAGUCUGGCAUUUCUUCUCGUUGUAUGUCCCUCUGUAAUCGCACCAAUCACAAGAACCAUAUGCCUUAUAGGCAGGCCAGUAUCUGCCAAUGCUUUGUCCAUUGAUCCAUAUCUGACCUUUGCCCAUGCUACUCAUGUCUAAUGCCAAUGGCUCAUUCCCAGCUGGAGCAUUAAAGAAAGCCUGGAAGAUGAUAAAGAUUAAGUGACACAAUAGUCUCAAACAUGAGAGGAAGGAAGAUGAACUUUAGGAUAACAUGUUUCUGUGUUGCAAGCAGUACUGACCUUGUACCAAGUCAAGGGCUGCUUUGUUGAUGCACCUCCCCACUCAACUGAAGAACUGCCACUAAGUGUAUGGAUGCUCAGGGAUUCACCUCUCAGGCCGAUCUACACACACAAACAUGGAACUCAGUAACCAGUAAGCAAGUUUUAGUCAGAGACUAAUGUAGGUAGGAAGAGUUGAUUGGAACCUGGUAAAUCCAUUUCUGUGAUGAAAGGUCUCUCUUUCCUUCAUUGAGACCUUCCAGAGUCACUGGACCAAGAACACCAGCAUUCCAUGUCUCAAAGUGGUUGCCAACAUUCUGAAACAGAUCAGAGAACAGAAAUCUGAUGUCUCAACAGCCAUCUUGUGUGUAUAAUUGUACAGGGUUAUUUGUAUGAUAUUUCAACUUUUCGAUCAAUGGCCAGGAAAUAUUUCACAACAAAUUAUGUACUCACAGGAAGACCAACAGCGACACUUAGAAUCGAGAUUUUGUUGCUUCCUGCCCACAACUUCACAUUUUCUCUGAAAGUCAGCUUUGGAUUGUCCAAACUACCAGAGACAGUCCCUGCCAGAAGAAAAGAAAGCAAAAGCCAAAUCGGAACCUCACCAAAUGUUGAGCAUAUCAUCAAGAAUCAAUUCUCCACAAGGCAAAGCCACUCACCAGCCCGUUCUCCAUUGAUGAAAACAUGCAUAGAAUGGCCUGCCGACAUCACAGUCAGGAAAGGGUAUCGGCCAUUCUUCAAGAAUUGUUCAUUUGAGUCUAUGUUAACACUGAAGAGUGGAGAUUGUGAGUCAUUGAGUGAUAGAUGUCAUUGAUUCUGUCUCAAAUAGACAAGCUGCAAAGGAACGUCUACUCACUAUGAAGUGUACCACAGGUAGUCUGUCCGAUCCCUUGUCAUGCUUAUCUGCUCCACCAAUCCAUCUUUUGUGAAUGAGUUAUCCCCCAGUGAGUUGGUAUCCUCACUGAAGGACUCCCAAGAAAAUCCACCAACCCAAGUCAUUUUAAUCUGUGAUGUUGGAGCUCCUACCUGUGUAUAUCAUUAGUAACUUUGUGUUAAAGACACUGUCAUGAAAAUUCAACCAUGGAAAUCCUUUUUCAUCCGAGAAAAUUUGGAAUACAUAGUGAGUUAUACAUUUUCUUUAGCCAAGAAACAAAUAACUCAAUAGAGAGGUGAGUUUUUUUAAUACAGUAGUAGAAGCAACCAUGACCGUUAAUCAUAAAAUAUUUCUCACCUUUGCAGUGUUGAACACUGAGGUUUUGCAGUCAGGAAGAAUGCUGAUGGACCAAGAUGGAAUAUUAUACUUCAUUCCAUUGAAAGUAACACUUGCAUAAGAAUGUGGGUUGAAAUUAGAAAGGAAUGCAGCACAUGAGCCUGACUUUGAUCUGUAUACAUGUGCCUGCAAGAAGUCGAAUGUAGAAAAGUUCCAAAAUGCAAAUCAUUGAAAAGAUUCCUGCAAAUUUUACAGCAAGAUAUAAGAAUUGAACCUCCUGAUAAUUUCCGAGUUUUGUCACUGUGGGAUCCCCAGACACAAGAGCUGGUUCACACAUUUUGAUUGCUUUAUGCAGGUCUCUCAGAUGUCCCCAUUUCGGCUGCCUCAACAGACCUGAGAAAGAUUAUGAUACGUUUAACACCAAAUAGAGGGAAUGGUAAUACUUGGCAUCAAAUAUAUUUGUAUUGCAUCAUCAGAUGCUUGACCAAUGAGAUUGCACAAUGUCUUCCUUGUAGAAGAGGAACAAGAUUUUGGCACCAAAAAGAAGAAAUAGGAAAAGGAGAAGCAACCUGAGUGGGAAUUGUAUUACUACUAAUCUUCUCUUAAUCUUGAAAAGAACCCAAGUAUUUGACCUAAAUAAUUCUCUAGGUGAGCAAUCACAACUUUAUACCCACGCAAGUAAAAAGAUCAUGCAUUUCUUUCUAAAAGCUGGAUGAGAUGAUCCAAAAUCACAUCUUUCUGGAAUUAUCACAAGCAUGCUAUGUGUGCAGAUGAUGAAGUCAACCAUGCCUUUUUCCUCACAUCAAAAGCUCCAAAAGGGGCAGAUCAAUGAGAAGUCAUGAGUUAAUUUAAAACCAAAUCAUUACAAAAUGAAAAUUGUUACAUAUGACACAAUCAUUGAAGAAAAACUGCAUACCGUAUUCAUCAAUUGGGGCAUCAUAGUCAUAGCUUGUCGAAAUAAAAGGACCACCAGCCGUCCUACCGAAGUUUGUUCCUCCAUGGUACUGCAGUUGACGGAAACGUGAAAAUUCUUUUACUUCAACAUGAUGUACAGCGUUCAGUAAUUACUGAAACAACUCAAGUAGAACAUACAAAUUCUUACCAUAUAGUAGUUAACGAAGGAUCCACCCUUCUGUAUAAACCUUGCAACGGCAAAAGCCAAGUCCUCAACAGGUCUGUGAGGAACUGGACCCCCGAAAGCAGUGAACC
Molecule: long non-coding RNA, 6849 nt
Filed under: Musa acuminata (dwarf banana)
Lineage: Eukaryota; Viridiplantae; Streptophyta; Magnoliopsida; Zingiberales; Musaceae
Description: long non-coding RNA (MACU_LNC003834)
Source: RNAcentral